RNAcentral lists this ribosomal RNA (520 nucleotides) under uncultured Bacteroidota bacterium. RNAcentral's name for it is "bacterial SSU rRNA". It matches the Rfam family "Bacterial small subunit ribosomal RNA", at positions 1 to 484 of the family's 1533-position model. Lineage: Bacteria; Pseudomonadati; Bacteroidota. The record is from RNAcentral.
CAUAUGGUCGACCUGCAGGCGGCCGCGAAUUCACUAGUGAUUAGAGUUUGAUCAUGGCUCAGAUUGAACGCUGGCGGUAUGCUUAACACAUGCAAGUCGAACGGUAGCAGGUCUUCGGAUGCUGACGAGUGGCGGACGGGUGAGUAACGCGUAGGAAUCUGCCUAUUAGUGGGGGACAACGUGUGGAAACGCACGCUAAUACCGCAUACGCCCUACGGGGGAAAGGAGGGGAUCGUAAGACCUUUCGCUAAUAGAUGAGCCUGCGUAGGAUUAGCUAGUUGGUGGGGUAAAGGCUCACCAAGGCGACGAUCCUUAGCUGUUCUGAGAGGAAGAUCAGCCACACUGGGACUGAGACACGGCCCAGACUCCUACGGGAGGCAGCAGUGGGGAAUAUUGGACAAUGGGCGAAAGCCUGAUCCAGCAAUACCGCGUGUGUGAAGAAGGCCUUAGGGUUGUAAAGCACUUUCAAUUGGGAGGAAAAAAUAGGCGUUAAUACCGUCUAUCAUUGACAUACCUUUAG